This is a non-coding RNA of Rattus norvegicus (Norway rat), 7795 nucleotides long. NCBI's taxonomy places the organism in Eukaryota, Metazoa, Chordata, Mammalia, Rodentia, Muridae. The record is from RefSeq and is a predicted model, not a curated record.
CUGGCUGUGGGGGUGGAGCUUAGACAGAAUACCAACAGCAAAGAAGCAAAGAAUUGUCUUUGUUAGAGACAAUUUCCUUUUCAAAGAUGGCGCCAUUAGGACAUUAAAACACAGUGCAGGUACCUCUGCCCAGAAGUUUCUCCAGGAAGCAUCCCUGACCCCAACUGGUGCUCUCAGCAUGUCACAAGGGAGCUUGCUGUCCUCUGCCUUUCAAUUGGGAUUAAUUCUGCUCCAGCACAGACCAAUGAGAUGACAGGACUGAAGUCGGAUAAAAGGCACGCUGCUACAAGCCAACGGCGGUGAGCGGACAGCCGCUGUUUGAUUCGACUCCAGCGGCUUCCAUUCGCACAGCAGGAAGGCGUGCUGAUUCUAAUCUUGUUUACAGGUAGGUCUGAAAACCCGAAACUGAUCCCCUGGGCCAGCCAAGGUCAUCUUGGAAUUACUGGGAGAGGAGCUUCUGGUGCUGGGAGUCACUUUCCAUUUUAACAGCUGAGAACCACUCUUCCUGGAUGCCCGCGGACCUGAUGCUCCCCAGCCUUGCCUCUCACAGAGGUGACAUUUCUAAGAACCACUGUAUCAAACUUCCUCCUAACCCCAUAGAACUUCUAUCUCUGAAAACCCACCAGCAUCUAUCAGCUAUAGAACGCUACCUCUAUAAGGAAAUAUUGCUGCUGUUAUUGACAGCGUCAUCACCAUCGUCAUCACCACCAUCAUCAUCAUCAUCCAGCGUGUUUUUUGAGAAAGGGUUUGUCUGUGUAGCUCUGGCUGUCUGUAGACCAGGCUGGCCUCAAACUCAGAGAUCCAGCUGCCUCUGCCUCCCAAGUGCUCAGACUAAAGGUGUGUGUGCACCACCAUGUCCAGCAUAAUGAAAUGUUAGGAAGCAGAGUAGUGCUGAAUUAAAAGUUAACCUCUAUGGUAACUUAAAUAUUUAUUACAUCAGUAGUUCUCAACCUGCAUGUAUGACUGGGGGUCAAAUGACCCUUUCACAGGGGUCGCUCAAGACCAUCAGAAAACACAGAUAAUUGUUUACAUUAUGAUUCAUAACAGUGGCAAAAUUACCUAUAUGAAGUACCAAUAUUUGUUAGGGGGUCACCACAAUGUGAGGAACUGUAUUAAAGGGUCACAGAAUUAGGAAAGUUAAGAACCACUGGAAAUAAAUCACAAUAUAUCUAUAUAAUAAUAAUGAGACAUUAAAAAUUCCAUCUCCAAACAACUGUUUAAUGGCAUGGUGAAAUGCACCUACUAUGUUGGGGGGUGGGGGGAGCAAACCAAAACCUAAAACUAAUAUUUGUUUUGUAUGACCUAAUUUGUCAAAAAAUAUUAUUUGUGUUAAAAACCACAAAGUAUAUAUCAGAUAAAGAUUACAAAAUAGAUUUAAAUAUUAAUAUUAGGAGAUGGAAUAGGAAUUUUAAAGUUUUCUCGAAUCUGGGCUCUUGAAGUUUGGUCUGUUAUGUAUUAUAAUGCUAAAUUCUAUAUCCGGAGGUCUGGUUGCCUCAAGCCUAGCUGUGAAUUCUCACAUAUGCCUUGCUCCUUAGUUUAAAACUAUUGGUUGAAUACAGAUGCCUACAGCCUAUAGCUGGGCAGAAAGCAGCUGGGCAGGGCCUCCGUUCCUGGGCUUGGAGUCUGACGCAGAAAUCACACCAGGAGAGAAAAGGAACUCUGGGAAAAAGAAAGGGGAAGAAGAAAGGACAUCUCCUAGCAAAAGACAGGAGACAGGAGACAGGCAUUACUAUGGGCCUGGAAGGUAUAGCUAGCCAUGUGGCUGGAUGGGGCUAGGUGGCCGGGUUAACUUAGCUGGUUGAGGGUCUGAUCAGCUAACUAAGCUUUAAAAUACUAAGAGGUCUCUGUGUGGUUAUUGGGAACUAGCAGGAACAAUUAACUGCUAGUUAACAAUUACUGCUAUAAUUUUCAGGAUUAAUUAAUAUCUACAGAACAUUAAUGACCAUUAAUUUACACUGGAUUUUUAAAAUUUUUCAAGGGCCAGAGAUAAGGCCGAGGACCCAAAGUCUGUCCCAGUGCACGUGACAGACACACACACACACACACACACACACACACACACACACUGGGAAGCUUAUGACUCCCUGUGACUCAAACUCUAAGGGAUUUAAUUCCUUCUGCUUUCCACAGGGCAUGUGUGCACACAGGGACACAGGGACACACACACACACACACACACACACACACACACACACAAAUCUCAAAUGUUCACUUAGUACUUUUAUAAUGAGAAAGUGAAUAAUUAAAUAUUUUUCCUAACCAUAUAGGUUGCACUGUCACUCAGGGAGAUCACACAAUCAAGUACACACAGGGCUACUGUCAUUUGCGAUGACUGUGGCAGCCUGAAGUAACCAUCGGUCAGCAAUCUCAUUACAGGAAACUGGGGAGGCAUCUCGGACCGUAGAGUGUUUGCCUAGCAUUCGGGGAGCUCUGAAUCCAAUGCCAGCAUCGAAAAAACUGAGCACCUGACAGUGUACGAGCCACGUGCCUGUAAUCCUACUUUAGGGAGAUGGGGGUGGGGGAAGUGAAGGAGUGGGUCAAAAGUUCAAGGUUAUCCUCCUGCCUGGGCUAAGUAACAUGAAAAUACUUAGCAUCUUCCCCAAAGCGCACUUUAGUGGAAAAGGAGCUGACCUUGCAUUCUAGGGUAGACCGACCAUCUCCCCCAAUCCCCCCCAGUGUGUGUAGUUCAGAGCGCUUAUCCAUCUCACUGCCCUGUGUUGCUUCCCAGCUGUGGGAGCAGGGUGUUUCCCCGCUUGCUCGCCUAAGCCUUAAAAGCUAUGAAAAUGGAAUGAAUCAAGUGAAUCGCACAUUUCCACCAUCGUGUAUUCAUUAAAGGCACAGUCUUUGGGCCGCUAGGCAAAGAAAAAGUUCUCUGCACUUACACCAGCUCAGGGAACUUCUAGGAAGGUGGAUGCAAUAAGAAAUAAGUCUUCUAGUCGUGUGCGUGUACGUAUGUCCGUGGGUGUGUGAAUGUGAUUGCCGCUGCAUUCAAAUGUGGAGUCUAGAAGACCGCUGUUGGCAUCUCCCUCCAUCACUGUCCACCUCAUUUCUUGAAGCAGAAUUCUGUACUGUGUUUGGAGCCCAAAAUUCCUGCUAGCUGGGAUGGUAAGCAAGUCCUGACUUUACCAACUGAGGAAUCUCCUCACCCCUAAACCACACUCUUUCUUGACUUUGUAGUGAUGUGUUUUUAUUCAUCUGUGUGUGAAUUUGUUGGGUGUGUGUGUGUGUAAGGUGGGUGUGUGUGUAAGGUGGGUGUGCAUGCACACAUGUGUGCACAUGUUUGUGGAAACCAGAGGACGAUGUCAGGUGUCAUCCUCAAGGACAUGUCCUUGGCAUUUCCUUUGAGUCAGGGUUUCUCCGUGGCCUGGGCUUCACCAAUUAGACAAGGCUGGCUGUCCAGUGAGGCCCAGGGAUCCUGUCUCGGCCUCUGCAGCUGGGUAUGCACACUUGUCACCACACCUGGCACUUUUACCUUAGUGCUGAGAUUAUCUUGGUUCUCGUGGUUAUUUGUGAGGUGAGCUCUUUACCCAUUAAGCGGACUCUCACACUUAAUUGUUACACUGCCAAAAUCAUCAUAAGUAUUGUUAUAGUUAUGAAAUGUGUACAUAUAACAUGGGGAGUACAGAAAUGGACUACUAAACAAAGAACCCACUGGAAGAGUUUAUCAACAAUGUCACUAAAAUUGGCUCCUACUUCCUCUGGGCUCCCUAAGAACUGGCAACUUCUAGAGUAACACCUGUAACUGGAUCUGGAGAAACAAUGUGUCACAGUGUAGAAUAGGCCGCCUUGGACCACCCGGUUAGAACAAAGGAUUGAUCGGUAGCCUCGAGUAAAGAGAGAAGGCACCUAUCACCAUACCCUCUCAGGGAUGUGAGCUGAGAUACCAGAAGAAAAAAAGCCACAUGGGGCCGGGGAAAGGGCAACAUGAAAAAACAGAACGCAGGGAGCCAGGUAACAGACGCAGAUGCUGAAGAGAGAGGAAGCCAGCCCCGAAGGGCAUCGUGUGACAUCCCGGAGAACCAAAGAGCUAGAGUAGAAAGCCACUUCCGCCCAUCUGUCUCCCAUGGUCGUUUUGGUGUUCCAGAUCUGGCUCUGGGUCCAGGUAUCCUAGCAACCAAGCCCAAGUAAUUGGAUUCAAAAUAACUUGAAUGAGUCCCCGUUUAGUGUUACUCAGAGCCCAAAUAAACCCCGGGCUGUCCCUGUGGCUCCAUGGGCCUUUUGGAGUGUGCGCCACCUUUUACACUACAAUGAGCCAAGUUCCUCAAGGUGCCCAGCAUCAACCACAAUUUAAUAAUACGCUUUCCUGCUUCGCAUCCAAACAUCCUAAAAGAUGAAAAGUACAGCUGCAGAAUAGACCAGCCAUGCUAGCUACACGGGGGAGACAGAGCAGCAGUUUGCAUUGGUGGUGGGACAUCUCGUUUGACCUCAGCACACUGCACUCUCUCCUAGGCAGACUUCUGGCUCUGGGUAGUGUCAAGUGAAGGGAUGCUUCUCCGAGAAAAGAAAACGUGAGCACAAUCUCCAUCAAAGGCCUACACUGAGUUUCAACACAGAAAAUGGACUGGAAGACCAGGGCACCAACAAAUGGCGUGAACGGAAGGAGGUUGUGAGCUGGGGUCUGUAACCAGCACCCACCCUUCUCUUCUCAAGGGCGUCUAGGGUAACAUCAGUAUCUUUCAGUAUCUGAAAGUGACCGGUACGCGUAGUGGGGUUCCUUAGAGAACACACUGGACGCCAGUGGGAUUUCCUAAGACGUCCAGGCUUGCAUAGAAACACCACGUGAGCUAUUCCUCUGAAAUAGGCCCAUGUUUGCAGAACUCGGGGUCACUGUGUGGGAAAGCAGUGUGCUGGGCUGGAGAAGCGUUUCUUUUCAAAACUCACUUCUGAGAAAGUGGUGUCUGCCUGUGCUGCUGGCUGUCAACCUGUCCCACGGACAUGCUGCGAUCUGAUCUUACAGCAACGGUUGUGACAGCAGCAAUUGUCCCAUCCCUUACGUCUUCAGUGAGGAAACGGUGAGCAAAGAUGAAGGGAGAGGGAUUAUUUCUUGUGUUACUGUUUUAUGUAUGAAUGAGGAAUUUUAAAGUUAUGAAAACCGCGUUUGGUUGUUUUCAAACCUCACAUUACAUCUACAACACUAAUAUUAUUCAUCUUAUGGAGGAAACUGCACAAAAAUACACACAUGGAGUCUAGAAUUCCCCAAGGACACCAAAGCUGCCUGGACUCCUGGCACAGUGUUAUGAUAUCUCCUGUGAAGUUCCUCCCACGUGGUGCUUCAAGACAUCGCGUUUCCGUCAGCCAAUGAGGUGCAAUGCCGCAUAAGGAGCUCUACAGUAGCCUUGUAGGCAGUGACUCUGAGAGGAAACAUGUGACCUGUUUGUUAUAAAAAUUACCUUUUCCUCAACACUUUCCAACAACCACCUAUGGUUGGUUGGAGCCCACAGAUGACGAGGGACAUUGGUACUACUUUGCUCAUUUAAAGAAUUUCCCCACAAACCAGGUCUGGAGGAGGAGGGACUUAACACUUGGUCUCAGUCUACUUUUGGAUUUAAUGAAAUACAGUGACAGUGGGAGGGAGAGUCACAUAAAAAUAAAUAUCGUGGGACGUUCUUAAAAGGUAAUUGUACGCAUGGAUGCCUUCCCGCUAGUGUUUCCCAACCAAUGUCCUCACUGAAUACACAAGGGAGUUUCUGCUCUUCCUGGGGUGGUUGGGGCACCCUGAAAACCGGUUACAAUGCUGCUGCCGAGGGUCAGCCAAAGUUCCCUGAUGCAGAAGCAACUCUCUGCCGUUUGGAUUGACAGAGAAGAGGGAAAAAAAAGAAGAACUCAGAUUCCUUUUCUGUGGUCUUGCUCUGUUCUCGUGAGAGAUCUUCCCAUGUAGCCCGAGGUGACCUUGGACUCUCAGGCUCCAGCCUCUACCUUCUCAGUACCAGGGUCACAGGCCUGUGCCACCACACAUUGCUUUGGUUUUGUUUCUAGUUCAAGGCGCUUCUUCAAACUGUGGGGGCCUGCUUACUACACAAACGACUACGGAACUCAGUGAUUUACCAUCCCUGUCCUUUUAUAUGUGACGUGGCUCUAAUUUGCCUUGGGCACAAUAUUUCACUUAAGUCUAGCACAGUAGUUCCCAACCUUCCUAAUGCCGGUGACCCUUUAAUACAGUUCCUCAUGUCCUGUAGACCCUCAACCAAUUAUUUCAUGGCUACUUCAUAACUAACUUCAUAACUACUGUUAUGAGUUGUAGUGUAAAUCUCAGUGUUUUCCCGUGGUCUUAGGUAAUCCCUGUGAGGGUUGUGAACGCUAGUCUGGUAUGUAGUGGUCACAUUAAUCGUUCACCUCAUCUGAGCAUGGUCAAGGGCAGCACUAGGCACCACACCCCAGCUCCUGCUCAUUCCCAAACUGGCCCUGGGCUUGGCGAGGGACCAAGCCUCUGGAAUCUUGGGGAGAGAUUGGGAAGUCGGGUUCUUCCCAGUCAUGGUGGCCUGAAGAUGUGACUGGGAGAGGGGUGUGCUCUGUCCUUUUGGGGAUUUCCCUGGCUGCAGCAAAAUAUGGCUAUGACUGGCCAGACAGGAAAGCCAUUGUACUCUGUGCCCAACCCCUUCAUUCUCUAAGUCCGUUUGCCACAGCUGCUCAGUGCUGCUCUGAGAAACACCGACAAGGACCCCUCAACCUCUGUGGCAGGUUACUUUGGAGCGUGCUGAAACCCUUUCCCUUCCUAGGUGUGUUAUAAUGCAAAGCAGGUGUCAGGGCUCUGUGGUGGCCUCGACAGUGCACAUGAAAGCCAUUUAGUCACUACUAGGUUAGAUGCUAUUUCUAUACCUUUAACUUCAGUGUGUAUAUGGCAAAUCAGAAUUGAGAGCUUAUUAUUUCCCAAUGUUAGCCUGUAUAUAUGUUUGGCUUGCAUAUGUUUACAAACGAUAUGGCUUUUUUUUUUCAUUAGCAUGGGCAUAGAAAAGACAUCUUCCCUAUCUUUGCCUUCGUAAGGGCAGACAGUUCCACUUGUAAAGGUGUUCAUCUCUCUGAUGUCUUUGCUCACCCCUUUGAAUGAGCCCCAAGAACACUGGGUCAGAGUCCCAUAUAUGGUCUACACCAGAGCCUCCAUCCUCCUUGGCACCUUUCAGGGUAGUUCAUAAUGUAUGUGCCAACAAACAUGAUUGAACUCUUUCUCAAAGAGCAAGCCAAAUAAUUAGAAAAUUAUUCCCCCUAUAAAAAUUGAAAUAAUUUUUAAGACAAUCACUAGGGAAAUUUCCAAAAUAACUAACCUGUUUAUCUUAAAUUUGGGGGAGGACUCAGCAACCCAAAGAUGUUAACUUGCAAGUUGUACUGGUCUAUCCUGUCGAAACUCAUAUACACUGUGACUGUGAAGAACCCACGGAGGGCGAAGCAACAGAGGAGCAGCACUAGGUGAACUGCCAGGCUGUUGGACAGGUCUGGUUACUGGCGGCCAGCCCUCGGGACCCUAAGGAGUAGUGCUUCCGACCCUUAUCAAAAACGUCACAGAACUUUAGCCUACAAGACACCGGAAUGCUUUUGCCUGCUACAAUUGCUAAGCCUGGAGCCAUCUGAGCAGCCUUUUAUCAUUGGUCUACACUGAGGCCUGAAGCCUCAUGUGUGUGGAUGGAGACUCUGGAGCUCAAAGACAUGUUUGUAUUGGAAGCUAUGUCGUCCCUGAAGAGUAAGACACUAAGGUCUCUCAGCCUACUGUAAGACUUUGGAGAAAUCAGGACACCUUUCCCAAUUAGGACGCUUCCUGUUCGCUUCUGCUCCUCCAGUCCUAAAUAAAGCCUGUUCUGUUCUC